This 700-nucleotide ribosomal RNA is filed under the name uncultured Alphaproteobacteria bacterium. RNAcentral's name for it is "bacterial SSU rRNA". It matches the Rfam family "Bacterial small subunit ribosomal RNA", at positions 94 to 829 of the family's 1533-position model. The record is from RNAcentral. Lineage: Bacteria; Pseudomonadati; Pseudomonadota; Alphaproteobacteria.
AGUGGCGCACGGGUGCGUAACGCGUGGGAAUCUGCCCUUGGGUUCGGAAUAACAGUUAGAAAUGACUGCUAAUACCGGAUGAUGUCUUCGGACCAAAGAUUUAUCGCCCAAGGAUGAGCCCGCGUAGGAUUAGGUAGUUGGUGGGGUAAAGGCCUACCAAGCCGACGAUCCUUAGCUGGUCUGAGAGGAUGAUCAGCCACACUGGGACUGAGACACGGCCCAGACUCCUACGGGAGGCAGCAGUGGGGAAUAUUGGACAAUGGGGGCAACCCUGAUCCAGCAAUGCCGCGUGAGUGAUGAAGGCCUUAGGGUCGUAAAGCUCUUUUACCAGGGAUGAUAAUGACAGUACCUGGAGAAUAAGCUCCGGCUAACUCCGUGCCAGCAGCCGCGGUAAUACGGAGGGAGCUAGCGUUGUUCGGAAUUACUGGGCGUAAAGCGCACGUAGGCGGUUAUUCAAGUCAGAGGUGAAAGCCCGGGGCUCAACCCCGGAACUGCCUUUGAAACUAGAUGACUGGAAUCUUGGAGAGGUCUGUGGAAUUCCGAGUGUAGAGGUGAAAUUCGUAGAUAUUCGGAAGAACACCAGUGGCGAAGGCGACUGACUGGACAAGUAUUGACGCUGAGGUGCGAAAGCGGGGGGAGCAAACAGGAUUAGAUACCCUGGUAGUCCACGCCGUAAACGAUGAUAACUAGCUGUCCGGAC